GGCAACUUCAUGCACCUUUUGGUUCUAUAAAUACCCCCCCAUCCAUCCUCUCUCUCCCCAUCGAGUCGAGUGUGUUUGCAUAUCAUCCGGUGUGAGAGGAGUUCCUUCAUUCCUAAGCUCGCUGAUGGCUUCCAACCAGAUCAAGACGGCCGCGCAUGCCCGAGGGGGCGUCCCCAAAUGUCCAUGCGGCAACGAGUCUCGUUGGGCCAUGGAACCUGCAGACAAAAUCACUGGCAUCAGCAUUGGCGCUGCUUCAUGCGUAAACUCCAUUAAGAUAACCUUCGACAUCGACGGAACCACUCGCGUAACUCCCAGAUAUGGAGGCCCCGGCGGUGAACUAUUCCAGGCAUGCCUCUCCGACCUCCAUCCAUCCAUGCAUCUAUUCUUUUGCCUUCCCCUCCCUCCUACUAAUACCUGCUAUCAAAUAUAUAAGUCGCUAAAUGUAUCAUCGCUCUAAUUGCCUCGCAGUUUACUCUCAUGCAAGAUGAAUACCUCACCUCCGUUUCUGGGUAUGUCAAACACGACUGUUCUGAAUUUCCAUGUGUAUCUCAACUCACGUUUACCACCAAUCUUGCAAAGACAUACGGUCCAUAUGGAGGUGGGGGUGGAACCUUUUUCGAAGUCAACGUAGAAUAUGACGAGAUUAAGGGCUUCUUUGGUCAUGCAACUGAAGAGUAUCUCACUGCAUUUGGAGUCUACGUGAUGCUGGCUUAGCCAACCCUUGUGGAGGGUGUUGACUAUCUAUCUCUAUCUCUGUGUGCCAUGAUGAAUAAGGAUGCCAAUGUCUGUUACUGGCAUCUAUGUUUGAGUUGGGUGUGUGUUUGAGUAGUGUGAAAUAAAGUCUAUCUUAUUAAUGCUAUGAUGUAUCUCACUGCAUUUGGAGUCUACGUGAUGCUGGCUUAGCCAACCCUUGUGGAGGGUGUUGACUAUCUAUCUCUAUCUCUGUGUGCCAUGAUGAAUAAGGAUGCCAAUGUCUGUUACUGGCAUCUAUGUUUGAGUUGGGUGUGUGUUUGAGUAGUGUGAAAUAAAGUCUAUCUUAUUAAUGCUA
Musa acuminata AAA Group (dessert banana) is the source of this 1048-nucleotide long non-coding RNA. RefSeq lists it as uncharacterized. The transcript is spliced from 2 exons. The record is from RefSeq and is a predicted model, not a curated record. NCBI's taxonomy places the organism in Eukaryota, Viridiplantae, Streptophyta, Magnoliopsida, Zingiberales, Musaceae.